UCAUAUUAGUUACUUUCGAUUAAACGCUUGAUUCUUUUUUAAAUUUGGUUAAUUUUGUAGAGUUAUUCAUGAUUAUGGGUGUCAUAAAUCUGAAUUCUGUCUUAGUUGAUUUAGAAUCCGAAACUACAUGGGUUGAAGGUGGGGCAACCUCUGGAUUAACUUUGUGGGGGAGAUGGUGGAGAUGUAUGAUAAAAUUUGGUCAAAGGAAAUUCAAAUUAACAAAAGUAAGUUUGUAAUGCAUGAUCUUAUAAUUAUGUUCAUCCUAACAGAACUCUCUCAAGUACUUCAAUAUUGGAGACGUGGUUCACUAUAUUGAUGAAGCUAAUUUUAACUAUAAAAGAGAUCAGCAUUUCUUUGAUCCUCCUAGCAGUGAAAACUUUGAUAAGGAUGAGGUUCUACAACUGGGGUGAUAGCUUUCGUUUGGCACAUUCAAACAUGGUAACACCCAAGGAAAGUCAUCGAAUGCUUGCAGCUUUGUUUGGUAGAUUCAUUGAUUUUGGCUGAAUGUACCCAUUAGUUAUGUCAUCCCAACAAAAUAAAAUCAUAUCAUCUUUAAAAAAUGAAAAUAUCUUAUUCUGUACUAUAUCAUAUCCUGUAUCAUCAUAACAGUCUAGCUAUGUUUUUCAGAUUUCAUCCCCAAGUUUAUCUUAUAUUUUCAGUAGAUAUCGGUGAAUGGUGGAUUCUUCUUCUGCUGCUAAUCAAAUGAACUGCAGGAGUAUACAGUGCAAGUUGUAGUCACUUCAUUUGAACAAGCAGCAGGAUUUGGUCAAGCAAAAACAUAUACAGCUCUAGCUUUAAAACCUUCUGGAAGCAAUUCCUUUGUCUAAAAGAUACCAUGUCCGCAAAUUCGGGGAACUUGCAAGAGUUUGAGGGAAGAAGCUAGUAUUAAUGGAGGGAAAAUCGAAAGUUUAAUACUUUUUUUUUUGAUCAUCAACAACGGCAACAACAGGCACUUCAGAAUUCUUGGAGGGAAAUUCGAAGGUUCAAUACUUAUAUUCUUGGUCACAUAGAAGGUUGACUGAUAGAGCAGUUUCCGUUCUUUGUACCUGGAUAUUUGAACAUAUUUCCCCCCGACUCCGACUAGGUCAAAGCUGGAAAGGAUUACUAGGAGCCAUGCAAUGAUUAAAUUCGUGGCAAGUACGGACUCGGUUUCACAAGGGGGACAAAGCUCUGCUUCAAUGUGUACAAGAUUGAAUGUCAAAAGUAGUAAGGAAAGCUUGAGACGUGUAAGACCAAGUUUGGAGCGCGAGAAUAGAGAAGCAGCAGAUGACACUGCGGUUUUAAAGACCAAGUUCAGUAAGUUGGAUAGCAAGCAACCUUGCAGAUUGAAGAAUUAGGUGGUUCUAAAGGUAAGCUCCAUUGUUUCUAUGUUGCGGAAUGUUAAUGGCAAUGCAUUUGCUUUGGGAAGCAACCUUGCAGAUUAAAGAAUUAGGUGGUUCUAAAGGUUGGGCUUAUGUUUUCAGUCUUUAAACAAGAAGUAGAAAUGCUUAUCAAGGACAAGUCAUAUAGCAUCAAUUGGUUUAAUUUAAAACCGGAUGCUCCAAUGGUUAUUAGGUCAAACCAAGUUUUUCGAGUUGAACUAUCAUAUAUAUACUAUCAUGCUGAUUAGGUGUGUUGUUGAGAAUCAAAUUGGAAAAAGAACUUGGUUAUUGAUGGCUGCAAUGCUAGCAUCCUGUUUAUGUAUUUGGAUGCAAAGAUUCAGUUUUGCAAAUCCAAGGAAUGAUGGCAUCUCAGAUAAUGCAUGAAUUAGGACUGCCAGUGCGUCCAAAUGGUAUGGAGCAGUUUGGAGUCGGAUCUUCCUUAAAAAUAAUUCACAUGAAAGGUAUAUAAUACCUGUCUGCUGCCAAAAGACUUUGGGGGAAUUAAUAAUUGCACUUGGAGGGAACUGUGUACAUUUCCCGCCAACUGUUAUGUGAAUGCAUGCCUUAUUUUAUGUUUACAUCUUUGUUAGAGCGUAGAACUCCUUAGUAAGCAUGAAUGUGUACGGUUAAAUGAAGCGAAGAAGAAUAUGGGAUAUUAGAUGAUAUUUAUGCCAUUUUCAAGGAUAAUUAGGAUGUUUUGGGUCAGUAUAUAAAGGAUUUCUGCAAUAACCGUGCUGUCAAAAUUAAGAUCCUUAGCUCGCCAAAAGGAUAAGGGCAAAAAUUUGUCAAUGAAAUUACUAUUGAACUGUGUAAUUAACUAUUUUGCACAUA
Papaver somniferum (opium poppy) is the source of this 2192-nucleotide long non-coding RNA. RefSeq lists it as uncharacterized. The record is from RefSeq and is a predicted model, not a curated record. The transcript is spliced from 9 exons. Lineage: Eukaryota; Viridiplantae; Streptophyta; Magnoliopsida; Ranunculales; Papaveraceae.